Alligator mississippiensis (American alligator) is the source of this 3318-nucleotide long non-coding RNA. RefSeq lists it as uncharacterized. The record is from RefSeq and is a predicted model, not a curated record. The transcript has 3 exons. Lineage: Eukaryota; Metazoa; Chordata; Crocodylia; Alligatoridae.
UUAAUUCCAUCUGUGAAUUCUACCCCACUCAGAAGGGGAUGGAUGGAAAAUGUAUGAGUCACUCAUAAACAGAGCAGUCAAUGAUUACAUGUUACUUGAAAUAACCUCACAAAGGUGGGCAGAGAAACCUGAGAGCGAGCAGUGAAGGGAAGAAAACUAUAGGGUUCAUGGAAUAAUUAUUUGAUUUCCUUACAAAUAAUAGGGCAUUUCAUUAUUGGCAGACCACAUCCAGCUGUCUGGGCCACAAAUCUCUCCACUUGAAGAAGAGAAAAAUGAACUGAUCCAUUCCUAUCAUACAAAAUUCCAGGGAUUCUAAAAAUAAAUUCUUUCCCUUUCCAUAGGUUUGAGACCUGCCCCCACUACAUAAAUAGGGGAUAUUUUCUAGCCAUCUCCUUAGUGCUUUUUCGUCUAUGGAGUUUUCUACUUAAGUUAGCAUUUGGUCUAUAUUUUAAACCAGGAAAGGACAGGCAAAUGUAGUCAAUUUGUAUUUUUAAAAGAACUGCAGAGUCCUUCUUCAGCUGUGCUCAUUUUUUAACGUGAGGACACGUCACUCUUUUGAAUGAGAUGAGUUUUCCAAGGUGACUUCUCAGACCAAUUUAAUUCACUACCUGCCAGAAACUGUUGCUGAAAAUAACUGACCUCAGAGGUUUUCCAAUAGAGUCUGAAAAAAUAAAUAAAAUAACAACAUACAGACAUCCAAGAUUAAAUGGCCUGCUCCUGCUCCUGCUCCAGGGCCAGGCACUUGGCCUGAAACGCCUCCUCCUGGGUGAUAUCCUCUGCCUGUGACCUCUCCUGGCAAGCCAAAGUCCUCCUCCCUCCACCUCUCCUCCCAAGCCAAGUCUUCUUCCUUUAAAGUCAAUAUGGCCUCCUUCUGCUUCUCUGCCACCAGCCGCUGGAGGAGGAGGAUCUGGCAGGGGGUUGGAGGAGGAGGGCCCUGGCAGAGAGUUGGACUAGAUAAACUCUGAAAUCCCUUCUAGCCCUACCUCUCUAUGAUAUCUUUGUGAAUGAAUACAGUUGAUGGAACUCACUAGAAACUAUUGCCCUAUGUGUAACUGAGUUACAGGUCUAGCUCCUGUGUUGUACACAGGUAGAUAUCCUUGAUUUAGAUUGCAUAUUUCUUAGAUGUCAAAUGUUGACAGAAAUAUAUCUAUUGUCAGGACUCAUGACAGCCUUACUUUCAAGACAGACAGCCUUACUUUCAAGACACUAAAAUGUGAGAAGUAUACUUUAGAAUUCCAUGAGUUUUUUUAUAUAGUACUUAAUUGACCAUGAUUAAGGAGGGAACUCCUAAGAAUCUGUUCUGUGAUGCCACGUUCAAUUGCUGAAAUGAACACUGUUGAGUGAUUCUACCUACGACUAACAUGUGAAGCAGGAAUAGAGCAGCUGUAUUUCAGUACGUACAACACAGCUCCAGAGCUCCCCAUUCAUUUCCUCAUUCUCAAAUUCUGAGUAGACACACAUUAACAUCAGAGAGUAUAUGUCCCUGAAUAGAUAAAUAAUAUCAGAAAAGACAAAAGAAGUUUUCUCCCUCCAAACCUCAGCAUAAAGACUGGCUAUGACCACAAUUAUUUUGCUUCCUAAAUAUAAAGUUUGGUUUAGGUUUGCACCUGGUGUUGAGGUAUACUAUUUCCGUAGAAAUGUGUGGAAAAUAAUGAGGCAAGAUCUGAGCCUUGGCCCUUGUAAUUUUGCAUCAGCCAGCAGGGAUUGGCCAGAGCAGAGGGAAGCAUCUUGUACAAGUGCGGUAGAUCUAGCAUGUACUCUUUCAGAGUCAAUCAGAAUUGUCAUAAGGAUACCUGUUGUUCAGUGGGUCAUUUGCUCUGGCUAGCCAGGCUCCAGUUUCAGGUGCUGCCACAUGUGCUGUGCUGGUUUUUUGGUGCUUUUUUUUUUUUAAGAUACUGGGAUUUCCUGUAUCUAAUUUUUCCUCCACAUAGCAAAUAUGCAGCACAGUGAACAGAUUAACUUGCAUCACAUGCCUUUUGUGGCACUUCAAAAGACUUUGAGGCACCACAACCCACACGUUCCUACUCAAGGGGAUGCAACCCUGGUGUGCUAAAUUAAAGCCACAAUUUAGUAGUUGGUAGGGGAUGCUACUACUCAAGAAAGAGUCUAAGAAAGGAUCAAAAAUUGCUCUAACUCUAAACAGUAAUAUUUCAAAGUGUAGUUUAUUGUGGUAAAGGCCCAGGGCCUUUCAACUUACCAAAAGACGGCAAAAAUAUCAGAGAUCAAUUGAUUGAUAGUAACUUGCUGCUUCCUUUAAUAAAGAUGUAGAGGGAAAAGAAGAUGGACAGGAUCUAGCUAGAUGGAAAUGCAAAUUCUAAGUGCUGUGCUCAUGAUGAGUAAGCCACUUAAAAGUUGUUUAUGUGAUUUUUCUUCAUUGCAUUUAAGAAAAAAACCCCAGAAAGCCAUCAUUUUGUCACUUAAUAAGUCACUGUUCAGCUAAAUCAAUCCCACAUCCUAACCUCAAAACCGAGUACAAACAAACAAGUAUAAAUGAUAGAACUUUACUCAAAGUAGAACUUUGAAAGUAUGUUUCUUUCAUGCAUAAACACGUUAAAGCUUGAAAUAUUUCAUUAGGUGCAACUUCUUCAAAAAGACAAGAGUAAAGUGCCAGUUCUUCCUCAAUAUGCCACAUUUACUAAGUUGGAAUGGUGACAAGUGUGAUCAUAAGUUUAAUUCAGAAGUUUACAACAGGUUAGUGACUGAGUGUUAAAGCUCAACAUAAUUCAAAGUAACUAAUUUGAUAUUAAUUUAUUUUUCUGAUCAUGAAUUAUCUGCAAGUAGCUUGCAGUUUUCUUAAUGCUUCCUUUUAAAACUUUUCAUAAACCCUUUUUACAACUAAUUUUAAGUUUGUGAUUUGCUGCAGACAUUCAUGCACAAAUCAAUGUUGAUAAAAAUGGUUAAACUGCUUACCAUGCCAACCAACACUGUCUUGCUAUAUUCCAAUAUAUUGUUUCCUUUUGGCUCAUACUCAAUUUGAGAUCUCUUUGGGGCUGGUCUUAUCUUCUUUUUCCCCCUGUGUCUGUACAGUAUCUAGUAAAAUGCUAUGGUAAUACAAAUAGGAAUGCUGCUAUUUCUCAUUAGCUGUGUAAACCUUCUACUUAGUGUUGAUAGCAGUAAUAAAGGAUAGCUAUCUGUAGCCCUUCUAAAGCAAGGGCAGGCAAAAUCUGGACUGUGGGCUGGAUCCAGCAGGCAGUGGACUUCAUUUCCCAGCAGCCCCUGCCCCCGUGGCUAGGACCCCAGCAGCAGCCAUGCUGUGAUAGCAUGGGGGCCAAGGUUUCCAUGGAAACUGGCCCCAGCAGCACUGGAGGCAGUAGCAGU